GACGAACGCUGGCGGCGUGCUUAACACAUGCAAGUCGAACGAAGAGCGACGGAAGCUUGCUUCUAUCAAUCUUAGUGGCGAACGGGUGAGUAACGCGUAAUCAACCUGCCCUUCAGAGGGGGACAACAGUUGGAAACGACUGCUAAUACCGCAUACGAUCUAAUCUCGGCAUCGAGGAUGGAUGAAAGGUGGCCUCUACAUGUAAGCUAUCACUGAAGGAGGGGAUUGCGUCUGAUUAGCUCGUUGGCGGGGUAACGGCCCACCAAGGCGAUGAUCAGUAGCCGGUCUGAGAGGAUGAGCGGCCACAUUGAGACUGAGACACGGCCCAGACUCCUACGGGAGGCAGCAGUGGGGAAUCUUCCGCAAUGGACGAAAGUCUGACGGAGCAACGCCGCGUGAGUGAUGACGGCCUUCGGGUUGUAAAGCUCUGUUAAUCGGGACGAAAGGCCUUCUUGCGAAUAGUGAGAAGGAUUGACGGUACCGGAAUAGAAAGCCACGGCUAACUACGUG
Molecule: ribosomal RNA, 510 nt
Filed under: uncultured bacterium
Lineage: Bacteria
Description: partial 16S ribosomal RNA
Rfam family: Bacterial small subunit ribosomal RNA
Source: RNAcentral